AAAAAACAUUGGAAAAGAAAGAUAAUGCAUGUAUGGAGAUCUGUGUAUUCACACAGGAUUUGGUGAAACUGUGCUUCUUCCAUCAUGAGGGCUUUGUAGAGGGUGGUUUGAAGAUGAAAUGGGAGGUCUUUUGUUGUGUGGUAAUGAGGAGGAAGUUCAGGCAAAUCUUGUAAAUGGAGUUCCACUAGCUGAAUUGAACAAGAGUACUUGUGUGGGAUUUUCUUCUUGAUGUAACUAAGAUUAAUGGGAGUUGAACAAAAAUCAAUCAAAAAGCCUCUAUCUGAGAGCUUCUUGGCUAGCUCAAGGAAAGGUGUGAAGUGUCCAUAAGCUAAGUAUGGAAACAUUAGAACACUCAAAUUUGUUGUUUCAGCCAUGACUUCUCUCUGUA
Molecule: unclassified non-coding RNA, 388 nt
Filed under: Hevea brasiliensis (rubber tree)
Lineage: Eukaryota; Viridiplantae; Streptophyta; Magnoliopsida; Malpighiales; Euphorbiaceae
Source: RNAcentral